GGGUCUUGUGGUCUAGUGGUAUGAUUCUCGCUUAGGGCUCACCCUACAGCUACAAUUUGCGAGAGGUCCCCGAUUCGAUCUCGGGCAAGACCC
RNAcentral lists this transfer RNA (93 nucleotides) under Pseudogymnoascus destructans. RNAcentral describes it as "partial tRNA-Pro". Lineage: Eukaryota; Fungi; Ascomycota; Leotiomycetes; Thelebolales; Thelebolaceae. The record is from RNAcentral.